Non-coding RNA from Podarcis lilfordi (Lilford's wall lizard), 76 nucleotides. Lineage: Eukaryota; Metazoa; Chordata; Lepidosauria; Squamata; Lacertidae. The record is from the annotation of a GenBank genome assembly.
GGAAAGGACUGUAGCUCAGUGGAGGAGCAUUUGCUCUGCGUGCAGAAAGCCCCAGAUUCAAUCCUUGGCAUCUCCA